UGGGGAAUUUUGGACAAUGGGCGAAAGCCUGAUCCAGCCAUGCCGCGUGAGUGAAGAAGGCCUUCGGGUUGUAAAGCUCUUUUAGUCGGAAAGAAAGAGUUGCAAUGAAUAAUUGUGAUUUAUGACGGUACCGACAGAAAAAGCACCGGCUAACUACGUGGCAGCAGCUGCGGCAAUACGUAGGGUGCGAGCGUUAAUCGGAAUUACUGGGCGUAAAGGGUGCGAAGGCGGUCUGGCAAGUCAGAUGUGAAAGCCACGGGCUUAACCUGGGAAUUGCGUUUGAAACUACAAGACUAGAGUGCAGCAGAGGGGAGUGGAAUUCCAUGUGUAGCAGUGAAAUGCGUAGAUAUGUGGAAGAACACCGAUGGCGAAGGCAGCUCCCUGGGUUGACACUGACGCUCAUGCACGAAAGCGUGGGGAGCAAACA
RNAcentral lists this ribosomal RNA (427 nucleotides) under uncultured beta proteobacterium. RNAcentral describes it as "bacterial SSU rRNA". It matches the Rfam family "Bacterial small subunit ribosomal RNA", at positions 355 to 774 of the family's 1533-position model. The record is from RNAcentral. Lineage: Bacteria; Pseudomonadati; Pseudomonadota; Betaproteobacteria.